Molecule: transfer RNA, 72 nt
Filed under: Ictidomys tridecemlineatus (thirteen-lined ground squirrel)
Lineage: Eukaryota; Metazoa; Chordata; Mammalia; Rodentia; Sciuridae
Description: Spermophilus tridecemlineatus (thirteen-lined ground squirrel) tRNA
Rfam family: tRNA
About the family: Transfer RNA (tRNA) molecules are approximately 80 nucleotides in length. Their secondary structure includes four short double-helical elements and three loops (D, anti-codon, and T loops).
Source: Rfam by way of RNAcentral
GUAGUUGUAGCUCAGUGGUAGAGUGCUUGCCUCGAAUGCAGAAGGAACUGGGUUCAAUACUCAGCAACCACA